Mustela putorius furo (domestic ferret) is the source of this 119-nucleotide ribosomal RNA. NCBI's taxonomy places the organism in Eukaryota, Metazoa, Chordata, Mammalia, Carnivora, Mustelidae. The record is from Ensembl.
GUCUACGGCCAUACCACCCUGAGCUCGCCCUAUCUCGUCUGAUCUUGGAAGCUAAGCAGGGAUCGGGCCUGGUUAGUUCUUGGAUGGGAGACCCAAAUAAACUAUGAGCAUUAUAAACU